Molecule: ribosomal RNA, 253 nt
Filed under: Parasutterella excrementihominis YIT 11859
Lineage: Bacteria; Pseudomonadati; Pseudomonadota; Betaproteobacteria; Burkholderiales; Sutterellaceae
Description: partial 16S ribosomal RNA
Rfam family: Bacterial small subunit ribosomal RNA
Source: RNAcentral
UACGUAGGGUGCGAGCGUUAAUCGGAAUUACUGGGCGUAAAGGGUGCGCAGGCGGUUGAGUAAGACAGAUGUGAAAUCCCCGAGCUUAACUCGGGAAUGGCAUAUGUGACUGCUCGACUAGAGUGUGUCAGAGGGAGGUGGAAUUCCACGUGUAGCAGUGAAAUGCGUAGAUAUGUGGAAGAACACCGAUGGCGAAGGCAGCCUCCUGGGACAUAACUGACGCUCAGACACGAAAGCGUGGGGAGCAAACAGG